GACAGAGGGUGCAAACGUUGUUCGGAAUUACUGGGCGUAAAGCGCGUGUAGGCGGCGCGACAAGUCGGGUGUGAAAGCCCUGGGCUCAACCCAGGAAGUGCACUCGAUACUGUCGCGCUAGAGUCCCGGAGAGGUUGGUGGAACUCUCGGUGUAGAGGUGAAAUUCGUAGAUAUCGAGAAGAACACCGGUGGCGAAGGCGGCCAACUAGACGGUGACUGACGCUGAGACGCGAAAGCGUGGGGAGCAAACAGG
RNAcentral lists this ribosomal RNA (253 nucleotides) under uncultured bacterium. Its description in RNAcentral is "partial 16S ribosomal RNA". It matches the Rfam family "Bacterial small subunit ribosomal RNA", at positions 524 to 776 of the family's 1533-position model. The record is from RNAcentral.